Molecule: ribosomal RNA, 253 nt
Filed under: uncultured bacterium
Lineage: Bacteria
Description: partial 16S ribosomal RNA
Rfam family: Bacterial small subunit ribosomal RNA
Source: RNAcentral
UACGUAGGGCGCAAGCGUUGUCCGGAAUUAUUGGGCGUAAAGAGCUCGUAGGCGGUUUGUCGCGUCUGCUGUGAAAACUCGGGGCUUAACCCUGGGCCUGCAGUGGGUACGGGCAGACUAGAGUGCGGUAGGGGAGACUGGAAUUCCUGGUGUAGCGGUGAAAUGCGCAGAUAUCAGGAGGAACACCGGUGGCGAAGGCGGGUCUCUGGGCCGUAACUGACGCUGAGGAGCGAAAGCGUGGGGAGCGAACAGG